Peromyscus leucopus (white-footed mouse) is the source of this 598-nucleotide long non-coding RNA. RefSeq lists it as uncharacterized. The record is from RefSeq and is a predicted model, not a curated record. The transcript is spliced from 2 exons. NCBI's taxonomy places the organism in Eukaryota, Metazoa, Chordata, Mammalia, Rodentia, Cricetidae.
CAGACCUGGAAGCUGCAUGACCAGGCUUGAGGCAGGCAGCAGCUGGGGUUUGGGAGGACACAGGCACGUGGACAGCCGCCUGUGGGUGCCUUGCUGCAGAUGAGGCAGCCAUGAGAAACAGUUUGUCUUUCCAGCCGCCUCCUCCACCCUUUGCUACAGAGCCUCCAUGCCACAGCACGGUGCCAGCUGCAGAAAGAUUGAUUCAUAGGACCCAACAACUUCCUGGCAAGCAGUAGGAAUUCCCAAACUACUGGUGGACUAUUUAUUGACUGAACUGGCCAUCGAUAAGGAAAUAUUAUGAAGAUGCCAACACACUACCUGGAUGUCUCGGCUUGCAUCUGUUCAUGUGCAGUCUUGGUUCCUGGGCUGCCCACUAUGCGUGCUUUAUCAUAUUGCUGUGGUGGCUUUGUUGACAUCUGGCUCAGUGGCUAACUCAUCUGCGUCACUUGGGACUGUGCUGAGGCAGUCCUGCACACACUCUGCUAUGAGUGGCCCCUGCCUGCGCUAUGUAGUUCCCUACACUUCAUUAUCAUCAUACUGUGAUGCCACCCCCCAUCUGCCCCGCUCGCUCUUCAGCACAAUUAUAGGGAAUGCAGGG